Molecule: long non-coding RNA, 15901 nt
Organism: Columba livia (rock pigeon)
Lineage: Eukaryota; Metazoa; Chordata; Aves; Columbiformes; Columbidae
Exons: 5
Source: RefSeq, a predicted model, not a curated record
UCAGUGUUCAUCUUUUUCAUUUGUGAUUCAGUCCUAUUUAUUUUUCCAUCAGAAAUUACAGGCAUGAAUUUCAAAACAGUGGAAAAUAGGAUCUGGCUGCUGCCUGUUAAGCAAGCUAGGUACUUAUGGCUCUAUUAAAUAUACAGAUCAUAUGAUUUAGAUGCAACAGAAGGUUACUUUUUUGCAUAACUUGAAAGGUAAGUUUCAGUAAGAUAUUGAAGUAGUCAUCAAGCCUGAGGAAGAAAAGAUCAAGAAGAAACUGAAUUCAUAUCCAGUUCAAGUCUGCACCUGAAUGCUGUGGAAUUUAUAUUUGAUUUUUGGUAAAUCACAUAGGAUUUGAACCACAAAAGGAGUCCUGAAAACUACUACCUCAGCUAAGAAAUCCUGUUGAAUGUUCCUGACGUAUUGAGGCCUUUAUGAUUUUGUGUAAAAAUAUCUUAGCACUGCAAGGCCUAAUUUGGGGCCUGCCCAGGUAUUUUUCCAUGUUAGAACAGAUGACCAGCCCAGUACCAGAAGUUUCACAGGAAAGGACAGAGCAAGUUCUACUACAGGAAAAUCAGGCCACCACUCUUGGGCUCUUCCACCAGUAACCACUUUCAUUGUCAUAUGGAUGUGAAGUCAAUGGCAGAAUUCCAUUUGAGUCCAGAAGUGCAAGGAUUUUUAGUCUGAGCUCUGUUCUCUGUGAACAGGAGCAAAUUAUUCACAUGACUGGUUAAUACAUUUGUGGUAUUUAAAUGAUUUGGCCAUCCUACAUAUGCUGCUAAACAGGUUAUUGCAGUUGAAGAAUUAGAAACCACAAGCUAUAUCCCUGUGAAACUGAAGCCUCAGAAGACCCAAAAUAUCCCUGAUGUCUGAGUUUUAAAUGUUUAUGCAAACAUGUCCAGAUUUGGAGGAAAGGCUCAAGAACUACUUUUAGGGAAUGUAUGAGGCACUACAGACAAGUGUUUGCAAAGCAGAGGUAAAGAAGAUAAAUGAUGUUUAAUGUCUGUUGAGUAUUGGUAAGGAUCAUGGCUGAAAACAUCGUGACGAAACUAGUUCAGCCAGGAGGUGACACAUUCAGAGCAGGGGGAACUGCAAUCUACACAUCAACGAUGAGCUAACGAGCCACAGAUCAGUCCGGCUGACUGACCAGAGAUAGAGGAUGUGCUGGAGGGCACAUAGCCCCAUCUCCUGAUAGGUCCAGCUCGGCAAACAAAGGGGAAAAGUUGAAACCCUUUAACAUGGCCCGGGACUUGUAGAAAUUUGUACAUCUUUUGCAACCACCAGUUCCCCCUGGAUUUCUGCAUGACACAAAGGGGCAAGGCAGAGACCCCUCAACAUGGCUCAGGACUUGUCCAGACUUGUCCCUCUUUCACAAUCACCACUUCCCCCACCCCGAGACUUUUCUCUACUCUGGGAGCUAUAAAAAGCUCACCUAAAACAGCACGGUUUAGGAAAUACCAGCUCAGCCUCACGAAGGGAAUACCAGCCUCAUCGGAGGGCCUACCAGUCUCACCAAAGGGAAUACCAGUUCGGCCUCACCAAGAGAAUACCAAUACCCUGAGGAUGCUCACUCUGAACCAGACAUCAGAGGACACUGCGCUCCUGAUCCCAGCACCCUCGCCGUGAAACACUGAGGCCAUAUAUCAUCGUACAAGUCCUGUCAUCCACACUGUGGGGCUGUAAGAGACUGGAUCCCUCACUCUUUUCUUUCUUCCUUUCUCUCUGCUCUUUCCUUCUUUCCUUUUUUCUGUACCCCCAUUUCUUUGUUUCUCCUUCAGUAUAUAUAUUACUCUCUUUCUCUCUCCCUUAUACCUUAGUUUUCCUUCCCUCUUUACCACUCUCUUUCUCUCUUUCCCUUUUGAACAUAUAAGGAUAACAUCAUCUUUAAGCUCUGCUGUUGAUUUCUGGUUAAUUUUCAUAUUAUAGCUACUGAUUGUUGCCAAUAUAUUGCUCGUAGUAGGAUUUUUGCUCUUAAUGUGUUGAUAAGUUCUGUUAUACUUUUGCCAAGUCACCAUUCACUGUAACCAAUAUUCCAACAAGUAAUUUUAGUAACACUCACAAUUGAAUUGGACCCUGGAGGUGAUUGUCUGUCAUUCACUUCACAUAACCGUGCAGAACUAACCCAAAGUUAACUCACACCUGGUCUCAUCAGUUGAGUCAGGGUGCGUGUCACGUCUAGAGUUAACUCAUCCCUCAUCCCAUCUGUUGGGGUGGGACAAUGUCUCACUAGUAAUAGUUAUAAAAUAUUUUAACAAAUUCCGAAAGGCAAAAAUCGAAUGAGAAAGGAGCAAACCUGGUUUUGGACUUGCCAGGAAGCUGUAUGGAAAGUUAUACAAGUUAGAAUAACUGAGGACAUCCUGUUUUCUCCCAGCCUUCAAGGGGAUGCUUUUGGGCCCAUAUAUAUGCACUCAAAAAUAUUUCUAGAGUUCUUUUUUAGAAAUUUAAAUAAUAAUAAAAAAUUCUAUGGCUUUUAGAAGCAUAAGAUAGGCAAAUUAACAGAAGAUACAGAGAAGGCAGAGUUACUGAAUGCCUUCUUUGUCUCGGUCUACUCUGCCAGAGUCUGUCCUGAGAAGCCCUGUACCCCUGGGUCCCCAAAGGAAGCCAGGGCAAUGGAGGAGUUUGCCUUAGUUGAUGAGGACUGGGUUAGGGAGCAGUUAGACAAUCUGGACAUCCAUAAAUUCAUGGGUCUGGAUGGGAUGCACCCAGUGGCUGAGGUCAUUGCUAGACCACUCUCCAUCAUCUUUGUCAAGUUUUGGGAAACAGGAGAGGUAUCUGAGGACUGGAGGAAAGCAAAUGUCCCUCCAGUCUUCAAAAAGGGCAAGAAGGAGGACCCCGGUAACUGUAGACCGGUCAGCCUCACCUCCAACCCUGGGAAGGUGAUGGAACGACCUACCCUUGGUGUCAUCUCAAGGCAUAUCAAGGAGAAGAGGGUCAUUAGGGGCAGUCAACAUGGCUUCACCAAGGGGAAGUCAUGCUUCACCAACCUCAUAGCCUUUUAUGAGGACAUAACGAGAUGGAUAGAUGAUGGCAGAGCUGUGGAUGUGGUCUACCUUGACAUCAGUAAAGCAUUUGAAACAGUCUCCCACAGCAUUCUUACAGCUAAACUGAGGCAGUACAGUCUGGAGUCUGGACGAUUGGGUAGUGAGGUGUAUUGUGAAUUGGCUGAAGGAAAGAAGCCAGAGAGUCAAGGUCAAUGGGGCGGAGUCUAGUUGGAGGCCUGUAUCUAGUGGAGUGCCUCAAGGGUCAGUAGUGGGACAAGUGUUAUUCAAUAUAUUCAUCAAUGACUUGGAUGAGGGAAUAGAGUGUACUAUCAGCAAGUUUGCUGAUGACACCAAGGUCGGAGGAGUGGCUCACAUGCCAGAAGGCUGUGCUGCCAUCCAGUGAGACCUGGACAGGCUGGAGAGUUGGGUGGGGAAAAAAUUAAUGAAAUAUAACAAGAGAAAGUGUAGAGUCCUGCAUCUGGGCAGGAACAACCCCAGGUUCCAGUAUAAUGUGGGGAACAACAUAUUAGAGAGCUGUGUAGGGGAAAGGGACCUGGGGGUCCUGGUGGACAACAGGAUGACCAUGAGCCAGCACUGUGCCCUUGUGGCCAGGAAGACCAAUGACAUUCUGGGAUGUAUUAGAAGGGGUGCGAUUAGUAGGUCAAGAGAGGUUCUCCUUCCCCUCUACGCUGCCCUGGUGAGACCACAUCUGGAAUAUUGUGUCCAGUUCUGGGCCUCUCAGUUCAAGAAGGACAGGGAACUGCUGGAGAGAGUCCAGCGCAGGGCAACGAAGAUGAUUAAGGGAGUGGAACAUCUCCCUUAUGAGGAAAGGCUGAGGGAGCUGUGUGUCUUUAGCUUGGAGAAGAAGAGACUGAGGGGUGAUCUUAUGAAUGUUUACAAAUAUAUAAAGGGUGAGUGUCAUGAGAAUGGAGCCAGGCCCUUCUCUGUGACAAUCAACAGUAGGACAAGGGGUAAUGGGUUGAAACUGGAACACAAGAGGUUCCACUUAAAUUUGAGAAGAAACUUCUUCUCAGUGAGGGUAACAGAGCACUGGAACAGGCUGCCCAGGGAGGUUGUGGAGUCUUCCUCUCUAGAGACAUUCAAAACCCGCCUGGACACAUUCCUGUGUAGUCUCAUCUACGUGUUCUUGCUCCGGAAGGGGAAUUGGACUAGAUGAUCUUUUGAGGUCUCUUCUAAUCCCUUACAUACUGUGAUUCUGUGAUUCCGUAGACGGCGAUGAGGUGUCUUCUUAGUCUCAUCUUCUCCAGGCUGAAUAAACCAAGAUGCUCUGAAGCAGCUGGACACAAACAUUUCUUUUUGCAUGAGAGCUAUUUAGAUGCAGAAAUAAAUCCAUGUCCCUGUUAUGAAAGUUAUUUGUCAGAAAAAAUAUAAGAUGAUUUAUUAUUAUUAUUAUUAUUAUUAUUAUUAUUAUUAUUAUUAUUAUUAUUAUUAUUAUUAUUAUUUACUGCAGAGUUUGUAGGAAUGAAUGCAUUGUCAUGGUUCAAAUCUGGCAGAUGUAUGUCAUUGAUAUGAAUCCACACUACUGGUAAUGUAUUGUUGGAUUUGUAACAUCAAUUUUAUUACAUCUUUCAGUAUUACUUUAUUUUAACUAGUGCUUUUAUUUAUAAUGUAAAUUUAAUUUAGCUUUAAAAAAGUACUUAUUUGCUGUGAAAUUCCUCAAAAUAUCCAUAAAACCUUGCAGAGAAGUUUUUUUCCAUUCACAACUAUUACCACAUUCACUUUUGAAGGUCAAAGAUACUUUCAAUACUUUUACAGGCCAGAUGGUAAUGCUUUCACAUUUGUACCUCAGAAUUUCAUGCUGUGCCUCAUUCCCAUUGAAAUUACAACAAACUGGGCAUCUUGGCAUGAGUUCAUAGUGUGUCAGUAAGGCACAUAUUAGAGAACAGAGAUUGUUCUCUCUUCAGAUUAGUAAUAUUCCUAUUUGUUUUGGUGCCUGUGCCAAAGUACUGCGUUUCCCUUACAAAGAGAAGAUUCUAAGCAGCUGUCAUUUUGCCUUUUCAAACAAGGGAAUAACAGGAGAGAUAGUUUAGUAUGACUCUCUCAUUUUAUGUCAUACUCAAAACUUAGUUUCAAAGAUUUUUUUUUUACUCAAAUGUUUAGGUUUACACAUCUUUGAACCUAAUCCAAAUAAUUAAAUUAUGUCCCAACUUUUGGCAUUUCUGAGAUUUUUUCAUAUUCUUAUUCUUACGGUAGAAUUUAUAUUUCCAAGUUGUAUCAAAUUAAAAAAAAAAAAGCUAGCAUUUGAGUGGAUUUAAUUCAUUUACUUAUUUAUUUUGCAACUUUUUGGAUGCAUUUGCUAUGAUGCAAAGAUCUAAUACCAGUGGUAAUUUUAAUCUUUUCCAGCUUUCAGUCCUUGGAGGAUAACAAAGCCAGGAGUGCAAAUUUACUAUGGUAAAAAGCAUCUCAGAAAUACAGAGAUGAAAUGCUUUAAAAUUGGCAGCUGUUGAAAUGCAGUUCUUAAUUGAUCACUAACAGUCUCCUUUGACUGCAUUUUUGGUAUAUAUUUUAAACAGACAUUCAUUUUUAUUUAUUUUUUACAAGACAGAUGAGAAUCCCAUGAAACUGCAAGACAUUGAAAUAUCUGGUUUUAAUAAGUCACGUUUUACCAUUAGCAUUCCAUAUUUUAUGAGACACUUUUAUCAAGUUCUUUAAAAAUCUGUCUGAUUCUUCCAUUAUUCAACUGCUGAGGCUCUUCAUAAAUCAAUAGUUGCACCGAUGUUUCUUGAAAAUCAACAUGAUUCCAGGUAUGAUUCAGAACCAGCAUUGAUCUUUAUUGGUUCCAGGUGCCCUCUCUCCUAGCUGAGGCCACACUGUAAUUCCAAGUGAUUCCCACCAUGCUCAGUGACUAGAGGAAGGACACCUUGUUCAGCUAGGAAAGACAAACUAGGUGGCAUCCUUCUUUGCCAACCACCUUCAUUGUUCUUUUCAAAAUGCACAUUUACUGAACAAAAAACACAGUAAAUUCUGUCCACUCUGCAGGAACUUUUUAGAGAUUCCUAACUUUGGCUGUGUUGCCUCAAAGCAACAGCAGAGAAUGAUCAGGAGUGCAGAUCCCCAUACUUUCCUGGAUAGGAAAUCAAGGCUGAACUUGUUUUGUUUUUAGAAAAAUCCUGAAAGAGGCCCAGGUCAAACCACUGUCUAACAUGGUUUCCUUUUAUAAAUUGAAGGUCACUUUAAAAAACUCUGAAUUCUACUUCACCUGUGACUUAUUUGUAUUACAGUAGCCUUUUGCUCAUGCAUACAGGCGUUUACUUGUGUUUUGGUCUUUAUCGUGUUUACUGGAUAUUUAGAAAGUAAAUAUGAUGUACCUUUUAACAAAUACAGUUCCUAUCGGCAUCUUAUUGUAAAAGUUCUACCUGCAGGUUGGUAAGAUCUGAUACAGAAUUGCUAAUGUUAGGGGAGUUCCACCUUAUGCUGAUAUUUGGUAUUAUCUGUGCUAGGGUGGAUUUAUAGGACUUGUGCAAGCUAAAUAAAGUUCCAGGAGUCUGUAAAUACUGUAAAAGUUAGGGAAAACAUUUUCAGAUAUGCUUUCCAUAUUUUAACAUUUUAAACAUGUUUAUUUAUUGAAAAAAUGUGUGACCAUGUGUUCAAGCCAUACUUUAACUGCAUUUUGAGUUUCUACUAAGACUUAGGAACAUUGCAGAUUAAUAGAUGUGUUUUACUACUAAUGCUAGUUUAUCCAACUAUCAAACAAGCCCCAAAGAAUUAACUGGUAGGACCAUGAAUCCUGUGAAAAGUCUAUGCCUUUCUGUGCCUAAAUCCAAAAUUGGUGUCUGAUGCUGAGAAAAAUUUGAUUUAAAACUUAUUGAAUAGAUUAGAAAGUAACUCAAGUUGGAUCCAUCUAUAGUCGUAUCCAUUUUUAUGCAAAUUGUCUUCAGAGGGUUUUUUAUUUUUGGAUAAAAUGUAGCUGUAACAGGUUGCACAUUCGGGCACUGUGAAGCUAUGCUUUUAAUACUUUGAGUCCGAUGCCAAGGUAGUAUUAUAACAGACAACAUUCUAAUGGUUCACUACUGUGAUUAUCUGUCUAUCUAGGGCAACAACUGGCAUAUAAAACUUACUGAUGCUUUUAAUGUAAUGUGCUUAAAAUACGUAUAAAAGUAUACCAACAUUUCUCUAAAUGCUUCAUUCUGUGUAAUGAAAUUACACUUUGAAACAACAAAAUACACCACCAAACAGAAUUUUUACUUUCCCAAUAAGCCCUCAGUUAAAGGUCGAAAUUGAUUGAUACAUGUUGAAGGCCUAUUUUUUAUGUCAAUCAUUUUUUCUAAUAGAAGUGCUCAUUAUGAUGGCAGCAAUGGUAUAUGUACAAAUUUGUGUGUGCUUACACGUGCAAAUACAUUAAUUGCAAACUUUUCUAUUUAUUUUGUUCUUCCACAUCUGUUACUAUAUAAAUUUCUACUAUGAUAAUGAAAGAGAAGUCAUUGCCAAGUCAGCCUAGAUCUGCAACUGUAAAUUAGGCCCCUAAGGAAUCACAGAAUCACUGCUUUAAUUUUCAGAAUUUCUAUGGAAAGAUACAUAACAGCAUUCAUAGAUCAUAUCCUAGUGCUUUGCAAUGCCACAGUGAUCAACUAGAGAUAACCAUCCCAUGAAAUAUAAAAUCACUUCAUCUUGUUUGACUUCCAAGGUAUUUAAAACUACAGUUGAGAUAGAAAUUAAAAAAGAAGUAUUUGUGAUUAUGUUUAGGAUCAUGCUGUUUAGCCACCUGCUAACCAAUCUAUUCCUCUUUAGUUGAAAUAUUUUCUUCUCCAGUAAAGUAUGUGUUAAGCCUGAGGGUCUAUCCAUAUUUACCUUUGUUUGGUUAUAACUUUUCUAUGUGUUGCACUCAGCUGUGGGAAAGAGAAACUGUUUUACAAUGUACUUGGUCUGCCCUUGUGGUAACCUACUGUCUAUGUAACGGCCAUCUAGGGAGUAAGAACUACUCAUAUUUAUUUCAUAAUAAUAUUUAAUUCACACUCUUUGUUAAAUAUGAACAUUAAACAAACAAAAAACUUAACAAAGGCUACUCUCUUUUUCAUGUAAACAUUUAGUGUUCUUUUUAUAGACUUUGAGGUUAACAUAACCAGCCUGAGAAGUUUCAUACUUUCAUAGGCCAAGUGGUUUAGCAUGUCUUUAUUCAUAUCCUUCAAAUUAAAAAUAUUGCAUCAAUCCUGUCAGCAUAAAAUGCUUAACAUCUGCCUAUAAGAUAUGCAAUUAUCUAAUCACAAAUGUCUUGUGCAAAGAAUAGAAGCAAAAAAGCUUGUAAGCUAGCAUAAUGUUAUGUUACUUUUUUUUUUUUUCUUUAUUAUCAUCACAUAAACUUAGCUCUUUAAUUCUUGUAUUAAUAACUCUCUGUUUCUGAGAUAUUCAAACUUUUUUUUUCCCUCCUUAAUAUUAGGGGAGUAGCUCUUUCAUGGUGAAAUGCUUAAUAUUUCUUUCAUCACAGCAAGGAUCUAGUGAAUGGUUAAUAAAUAUUUUAAAACUCCAUCUGCUAGAAUAAACUAGCACAGGCAAAGCUUCCAUGUCCUCUGGAGGUAUUUAGCCCAACAUAUUCCACAGUAAGUCACUGUUCUAGGAAAGCAUAUCCUGGCUUUAUGUGGGAAUAAAAUGAGUUUUUAAGGCAAUCUGUUAUGAAAUACAUGCUUCUUUGGCAACACAGCCUUCAUAGAAAAGUCUUUUUCUUAAUAUCAUGAAUGAAGUAACAAAGAUGAAGCAAUUUCUUUUUUUUUGAUGUAAAAAACUAUCAUAUGUGUAGUUAGCAGAGCAGAUUAUGGUGGUAGGGUUAAUUCCAUCCAGGAGUGAAAUCAAAGGUUUUGAGAGAAUGUUAAGCAUGUGACGUUAAUAACAUGGCACAGCAGCUUCUUGAGAAAUCUCUUUUCAUGAUGUAGCUAGCUCUGACAACUGAUGGCUGUAUUUGUCACUUUGCAUUCUUGUUCAAGCAGUAUCUUUUAUUCUUUGGUUUGUUCCUUGGGGGAUCACUGAGGUGUGUGAAAUCUUGAGUGUACUUGGAAGGAUUAGGCUAUCAAAGGGGAAAGUUAUCACUGAUAUGAAUGUCAUUCUUCAUAAAAUAUAUAAAAUGUGAAAUGUAUCAGGUGGCCCAGAGCAGAAAGAAUCCACAGAGAAGCUUUUUCCAUCAGCAGAAGAUGGUUGUUUUGCUUUCCAGAAUGCCAAUGAGUGCAUCAGCAGGUGCUGCUGUAGCAGGUCUUCUUCAAAGGACCUUUAAAAACAGGGAAAUGAUGAGAAGAGCUUUUCUUCAUGGACUUUUAAAUGCCAUAAUAAAAAUGUGUUUGUCCAGUUUCACAUUAUUACAUUUCAUAUUUGGAUUGGAUGUAGAAAUAGUUAAGCAAAACUGCCAAUACUCUUAUAUUAAAAUCAUAGUUCUAUAAUCAGCUGAACUAAAUCUGAAGACAAGACUGACCAAGACAAAUGAUUUUUUGUGUGGGAAUAAGCAGUGCACUACAAGAUUCAAAUUCAGUUUUACAAGUUACAUGAGAAGAGUUUCAAAGCAAACUCCAGAGCUUCCACCAGCUGGCUUAUUCUGGAACCUUAUGGUAGUUGAUGAAAGUAGAUUGAUAAUGUUAUGAAAAUUGCACAAGUAUCACUAAAAAAAAUAAGCUGCCAAAAUAUCUUAUAUUGUGCAUAUUUUUUUUAAAGCAAUUCUAGCUAGCUCCUCCCCAGGGAAUUCUGAUAAGUACAUGGAGGAAGCAUAAUCUUAAUUUUUACUCUCACAGCAGUAUUUAUUUGUGAAAGAUUUUCAAAUAUCUUAAAUAAGACUCUGAGUCAGAAACCCUUGAACUGCCAUAAAAAAUCAGGAUUAAAAUAAAUCUUAACACUUUAGUGGUGUGUUUCUCUCAUCUCACAGUGCUCCUCUCUCCCACACUGUGGAGCAGAAUAAAAAUAUUUUAAUGCCACUGUCACCAAGAGAUCCCUGUAUAGUCAACAUUCUCGAGGGAACUGUUAGGCAUUGUUUAGAAUACUUUUUAAUGACUGAGAUUUCAUUACAGCAGUUUAACAUGCAUAAGAAUGUGCAGCCUAGGUUAUUGGAAAGUGUUUAUGGUCUCUUCAGUGUUUAGGUUUUUCUAACUUGAUGUUCUAUAUUCAAUAUAUCUGAAAUAAGUGAGGACAUCACGACUUUUAUGAAAAUAUCCAUAAAAAGCUAUUAUUUUAAUUUCAAAGUUGUAAUUAUUUCCUCUAAUGAAGAUGCAAUAAUUUUUACACUGAUUAAUUUUUUUCCAGUUUCCUUUAUAUGUAUUUUCUGCUUUCGGAUUAAGGUCCCACUGAGAGCAAAUUGCCCAAGAAGUCAAGACAUUAACAAAAGUCACCAUCUAAAGACAGUAGGGGACAGUGAAUGCUCUUUUUGAUAUAUUACCCAUACUCAUAGAAGUUCAAUCUUGUGAUUGAUCUGACUCCUUUGCAACAUACCAAGGAAGAUUAAAUACCUUGCACCUCCUAAAUAAAUAAAAAGGUAUAGAAAUUCAAUAUUUUCCCUAACAUUUGGUCAUUUGAGACAUCUGUGGAACAGGUGGUAGAAAAAUCUAUAUCUGUCUUAACCUACAGGGAAGAAGCAAAUUAAAUUGGAUUUAAAAGAUGUAUCCAAUAAACUAGUAUAGAAUGAUGUCAUAAGCUGGAGGCAAUGGGGAAUCAGUUCAAGGCACACAACUCCUGAAAGCCUCAAUGAUAAAGAAUGGGGGUAUCUAUUUCUUUGACAGAGUAUGUAAAGACUAGAGUGAACAAUUCAAUUUAAUAUGUGUAUUUAGAAAGCAUUUGGAGAGUCUCACACUUAUGCCAGAUGGAUUCAGAGAUUAUUGAAAGGAAAGCACUAACUUGAUAUGCCACAAAGAAAUUUUUUAAAUCACCUAAAUGCUUCUCAGUGGGCCUGGAAUUAGCUAAAGAAUCUCUUGCCAUUCAGUUUGGUUUUGUUGAAGUUAUUGAGAUAUUUUACAGUUAUUAAAGUGAUUGAACAGAUACAGCCAUAGUAUGAUUCAUUUAUAUAAAUCUAGUUAACCUAGGAUGUUUAUUUCCUUUCUGGUGUCACCAGGAGGAAAUGUCUAUGCUAGUGAUUUCGGUCAAGUCAGGGUGUUGAAAAGCAUGAUUUCCAUUCUGCUGAAAGGUGCAUGGGUAAAGUCACACUGGGCAAACUUACUAUUUUGUCACUACAGGUAUUGAAUGAGUUCGGAGGCUGAAGUACAUGUGGUAUUUUUUCACUUUCUCAAAACAAAGUUUAGCAUAUAGAGUAUACUUCAAGCAGCAACAUGAAUUUUUCUGAUGCAAUAUGCUAGUAAAAUGCUGUUCAUGUAUAUGAGGUACUUAUUAGGACUGUCACACAGAUACGGCUGCAAUUGCACUAGAGUGGUUGUACUGCACUUUUUGUGUAGGAUGGCCAGUGCAGCUGCUAAUAUCUUUAUAGAUGUAGCUAUAAAUUCACAGGCUGAUUAUAAGCUGUUCUCCACUGCCUUCUCUAUUCAGCUUUUGUUCAAAUUUGAGUACAAAUGCAAUCUCUAGAUAAGUUUUUGUUUUAGUGAGAUGUUUUAGUAUGUUCCUCUUAGAUCAAAAGACAUGGAUUUGUGACUUGAUAUUAUUAAGAUCAGACAGCUUUUAAAAUGAAUCGUAAUUAUUUUUUGUUUGGGCCAUAAAAUUCUUUGUACUUCCAUAGUUUUCAGAUAUCAAAAAUUCAGUGCAUGGGUUAUAUGGUACUGUCUGUUAACAGUGAUAUUUCACAAUAUACACAAAUUUAGAAAUCCUUUUUAGUAGUUGGAUGAGCCAGCUAACUUUUUUUUUUUAAUACACUUUCUGAAGCUCACAUCAAGGGAUUGUACAUCUGAGGAAUUUAUCAGUUACAUGCAAAAGUGAAAGCUCUUCUCACACUUUAAUUAACCAAGUAUGAAUACAAAGUUUUAGACAUUAGAUUUGUGAUGUUCUUGUUUUCCAUACACAGUUUAUAAAAUUUAACUGCAACCCUUCUCCAGGCCAAAGUCUGUCUCAGUAGUUCAUUUUCUUGAAUGGCAACAGGAAAUGCCAAGAAAAAACACAGAAGAAACAGUUAAUACAAGGACUACAUAUGUCUAGCAAUCAGUAGUUUAUCAAAAGAUUCCUGAGCUAUACAUUUCAUAUGAGCUAUUAUUGUGAAUAUUAAUUUUUUAUCUGUUUUUUUUUGUCUUUACUUAAUCCCUUUCUGAUAUUUUUUUUGUCUUGCUAGGUUUCACAAAAAAUACAUGGAAAGAUAUUAACAGAGUUAAUUGAUCUCUUUUCACUGUGAAAAUUAUCCAUUUAUUCCAGUCUUCUGCUUUCUAUAUUUUAAAUCAGUAUUCAUUUAGAAGUUGACUUUCUUUAGUAUCUUACAACACUUUAAUUGCUUUAUUUUGUCUUGGUGAGGUAUUUCAUCAAAAUCUUUCAGAAGACCAAGCAUGCUAUGUCAACUCCAUAACCCAGACCAAAAUACUUGUCGGAACACUGAAAUGCACUGUGAAGUGUCACAUCCUUACUUACCUUUCUCUAGUAUGCUAGAACUCUCUUGGUUAUCUAGGAUUUCUGUACUAACUGUUAUAAUUCCUAUCAGAGAAGUUGGUGUGAAAUUUAGCUUUUCAUACCUGCACUUGCUAGCUUCACCUCUGAAACCAUGCUUAGAUACCUGUGCAGUAUUUGCCAUCUUUCACUCCUCUGCCACUGAGUUUGCUUCACACAUAGGAAUUGAUAUUUAACCAGGUGUUACGACCAAGUGACAAACAUCAAAUUGCUGCAGAACUGUCUGAUCCUAUUGAUUGACUGCAGUUCAAUGUAUUGAGUUUUGCCUUGUGUUUUGUAUUGGUUUUAAUUGUUUGUAAAUCUCUAAGCCUUUUAUCUGACAGUGGAUCCUUAUCCAGGUUUGGUAUGAGAACUGUCUUACCACCACUAGGAAUGCCAAUACCAAUACAUAUAAUUAGUUCAGCCUUAUUGCAAUAGCCUUAAUCUUGCUGAUUUGUCCUUUUACCUCUUCGUGAUCUUUAUGAUCAGUUUUCCUGGGUUUCUGUUUUAUAGGUUCCCAUAUGGAAGACUUUUAUUAUUAAAGACAUAAAAGCAGGUAAAAUACUCCUUAAUCUGUUGGCCUAUCCUCUUGUGAUGAUAUGUAUAAAUUGUUAGAGAGUAAGUUGUUAACUCUUUUCCUUUUGUAUAUUUCCUUGAAUAUAUCUUUCUGAUAUCUAUAAGUGUAACCUUCAACAUUUUUUUUUUUCCUGGGGAAUGGAAGAAGGGAAAGAAGUGAAGUGGUAAAUGGGAAGCAUGAGUCAGUAUCUGCAUCUACAUUCGACAUCUUUAAAUGAUCUUCAUGUCAUCUGCAGGCAUUUUACUAUUUAACUGCUCAUUUUUUUUUAAUUCAUUUCUGAGUUACUUUUUUUGUGUAUUUUCUCUUUUUAAUUGCUAAGGACUGAGUGACUGAGUGUUUUCUGAACAUUGUCAUUUCACAGAGCAAGCAAACAAGUCUCCAUGUAGUUCCUGAUGACACCUUUCAUGUCUGUGUUCUUAAUAAGUAGAUUCUGGUAGUGUCUGUGUCUCAUCUUAUUGAGUGGUACCCUUGUCUUCACAGGAUUAUGCCUGGAGCAGGAGUCUAUAGGAUAUAUCUAUAUUUUGAUACCAAAACCUGUUUUACCUUUUUAGAUCUUCUGUUAGCCUCAGUCGGACUGGUAUUAACUUUAGUGUCAAUGUUGAAUAUUUCAAAAUUCAUAUCCAUAAUAUUUAAUAUCUAGGACAUAUUGUACUAUUUUGGUUUCAAAGGUCAUGCAGUUCACUCUGGUGUCCCCGAUAAAUUUGAAUAAGCUCUGUAUAAAGGACAGAGGGAUACUUUACUGACAACAUUUGAAUAUAAUUUGAUUUCUAAACAUAUAGGUACGGAUUAAAUAUUCUCAGAAAAAUAAAUAAAUUAUCAGCUGCUGGAUGUGACUAUGUGUGAAGUGUUAUCCUGUGAUAAACACAAAAUAAAAUGGGGUUAUUGAACCAAUAUCCAUUGGUCACAGCUGGACUGUGCUAGAGUGCACACAAGCUCAAUACAGUUGUUAGAGAGAUAGACAGGGUUAAAACUACAGUGACAUUGCAAUGUUUGAUCAUAUGCUCACAAAAGAGCUAGAGACAUUCUAAAGCCCCGAAGCAGCCAAUUUACAACUGCUAUGAUUAUGGCUGCUUUUUAAAACAACUUUAAUUGGCAAUGGGUUCCACAAUUUAAUUACAAUAUAAAAAAGUAUACUUUUAUCAGUGGACUAUUUGUCAUCUUGUCAUACAGUUGAAUAUUUAUUUGUCUUAGGUAGAGGAAACACAAACUCUUGUUCUAAAUUAUUUUACCCUUCCUUAUUCCAUCUAUAUUUACUAAGUCACCUCUUUCAUCCUUUUCUAUACUGUAAUUAAUCCCUGAAUUUUUCAAUCAUGAUUUUUCUCAGAUCCUUGACCAUUUCUAUCACUUUUCACUGAAAGUUCUGUAACGUUUUGCUUCCUAUAGGGCUGUAUAAACACUGUAUCUCAAGAAACUACUGCAAGUUAAAUAAGGGAAAGAUAUUCUCAUCUGAGGGGGAAGCCGCAAUUAAAAAAAAAAAAAAAAAGAAAGAAACACAAGCAGACAAAGGUUCAGGUACAAAAAUAUCAAACCCUGUGUGAUAUCUGCCAGAUAUGACUUUUGUGGGAUGUAGUCUAGAUGUCUUAGUCAAACCUCCUUUGCAGGGAGCCUGUCUCUUUCCAGUGACUACAUAAAUUCAUAGAGGAGGAAACUCACAACAUUGAAUUUAAGUCCUAAAAUCAGAUGACCCGAAUUUCUCUUCCCAGAGAAACUAGUAAAUGUUUUUUUUAAGGUAUUCAAGUCAGUAGUUGAAUACCUCUAAAACUCUAGCUUUGAUUUGCUUAAGAUUAAAUAGGACACCUGAAGCCAAUUAGGAAAUUGAAUCCAGUUUGUCUUUGUUCAAAACUAGGACUGCAAUAACUAUUCAAUUUCUCCGUCCCAUAAAAUAUGUAAAUUCAGUGUUUCCUAUGCUGCCUUUCAUUUUUGCUGUAUUAUUUAAUUAUGUAGAGGGAUAUAUAAACAGUGGCUUUUCAGAAAUAGUCCUUUUAUUCACACAAUUACAGAUAAAUAAUGCUCUGAGUCUAUUUGUACUAAUGUCCUAUUCAUUGAAAAGAUUUUAAAAAUCUGGGGGUUUUUUUGACUUUUUUUUUUUUUCCCUCUGUGCAUCCAACUUCUCCUUCUUAUGUAAUGUUUUUCAUUGUGGGACCCCCACUUCUGUGAAAUCUCUGUAAAUCACCUUUUUUAUAAAGAAUAAUUUCCACAAAGGUGGGAAAAUAAACAAAAGCAUUUGUACAUAUCUUAAUAUUCAUAAAAGUCUAGUUUGCUUUUCUCCCCAAAUAUAUAUUUCGCGUCUAAUUAAAGUUGCCAUGUCCCCCUAAGCUAUUAAAUUCCUUAGUCUCUUUUUAGUCCUGAUGUGCCAUUUCAUUGACAUUUUGGAAUUAGUUCAGAGAUCACAACUGCCAAAUCCCUUUGAUCACACAGAGCUGGCCCUCCUGCUACAGUUGCUGCUCAGAGCAUUCAUAGCUACAGCUGCUCGAAAUGAGAUCAGCCAGCUUACUCUCAGGGCUCUCUGCAAGCUUGCUUCUGUAGCUGCUGUGCUUCCACCUGCUCUUCCCUGGGUAAAGCAUUCUCAUUGCAUGGGUACACAAGGACCAAUACAGUACCAAAUAAGGUGCCCUGACUCUUGCCUUCAGACCUGGUGCAACUCCAGUGACCAAUUCAGCAUCCAGUCAGCAGCAUCAUAUAACUGUCAAUGUCUGAGUUUCCUUUUGAUCUGGGUGCUGAGCAUAGGAUUAAUCUGUUCCAUUACUGAUUUUCUGUUAUAUAUUUAGUAAAAAGAUACCGUUUUGUGUCCAUUCUACUGCUUUUUUUUUUUCUAACAUAAGAACCUUUUCUACUGACUAUUACUUAUUAAUUACUUAUAUGU